RNAcentral lists this ribosomal RNA (253 nucleotides) under uncultured bacterium. RNAcentral's name for it is "partial 16S ribosomal RNA". It matches the Rfam family "Bacterial small subunit ribosomal RNA", at positions 524 to 776 of the family's 1533-position model. The record is from RNAcentral.
UACGUAGGCAGCGAGCGUUGUUCGGAGUUACUGGGCGUAAAGGGUGUGUAGGCGGUUCUUUAAGUUUGGUGUGAAAUCUCCCGGCUCAACCGGGAGGGUGCGCCGAAUACUGAGGGACUAGAGUGCGGGAGAGGAAAGUGGAAUUCCUGGUGUAGCGGUGAAAUGCGUAGAUAUCAGGAGGAACACCGGUGGUGUAGACGGCUUUCUGGACCGUAACUGACACUGAGGCGCGAAAGCGUGGGGAGCGAACAGG